GUGCUCACUUUGGCAGCACAUGUACUAAAAUUGGAGCUGUAGGUAAGAUUAGCAUGGCUCCUGUGCAAGGACAAUGCACAAAUCUGUGAAGCAUUCCAUAUUUAA
Small nuclear RNA from Phyllostomus discolor (pale spear-nosed bat), 105 nucleotides. Lineage: Eukaryota; Metazoa; Chordata; Mammalia; Chiroptera; Phyllostomidae. The record is from RefSeq and is a predicted model, not a curated record.